RNAcentral lists this long non-coding RNA (689 nucleotides) under Lynx pardinus (Iberian lynx). Lineage: Eukaryota; Metazoa; Chordata; Mammalia; Carnivora; Felidae. The record is from RNAcentral.
CCUCUGCUGCUUUGGAACAGAUCACCACUGCAAGAGAGGAAGCUGCUACUGUGAUGAAUUCUGCCACGAGGUGUCAGACUGCUGCCCAGACCACCGCACCCUGUGCACCCUGGAUAACUCACAUGCAGGCUCCUUCCCACCCCUGGCGGAGCCGGAUGCUGUGAUGGACAGAGGCAAGCCCCUUGCUUGUACUUCAGGCCAAGGCCAGGAUGUGGACUGGAUGCCUCCUGAGGGCCCUGAUAAUCCUGAGAUCCUCACAUUUGGUCCAUUUCGUACCAAAAGUGCCCACAUAUUCCUCCCAGCUUUGUUUCCCCACUGCUCCUGACCACCUGCUGCUCCCCUCUGAGCUCCUUUCCCAGAUCCCCACAGGGAGAGGCUAAGCUGUUGGUGGUUGGGGAUCAGGGUGGCGAGUGAGGUGGUUGGGUCACCUAACUGCCCCCGCAUCUCUUGCAACAUAGAUGCCUCUUGACCUGACCCAUGUAGACUUUUGAGGGAAGACAGGAGUCUGCAGAGAGGUGCUAGGGAUGUUACAUAGGAGGAGGGAGACUGGGAGUCAGGGAGGAGGCCAGGAGCUUUUGCUUUGUGUUUCUCAGCUUCUCAGAAUACCAAGAUGGUGCUGCAGAUGGUGCUGAGGAGGGAGACCCCCCCGAGCCCUGCAAGAAGCAACCUAGACUGGAUACAGAAUGUGG